RNAcentral lists this non-coding RNA (29 nucleotides) under Mus musculus (house mouse). The record is from RNAcentral. Lineage: Eukaryota; Metazoa; Chordata; Mammalia; Rodentia; Muridae.
UCCUCUAGCUAAUGACAGGAUCCCAGAAA